GACAAACCUCUAUUCUUAUUUUCACUCAAGUCCACAUUGCACAAUUACAAUCGAUAUGACUAAACAAUCUAAACAGUUGAACUUUAACCUGUAGCCAUUGAAAAUUAUAAAGUUGGAGAAGAACAGUAAAAUAAAUAAAAUUCAGAGAGAACUCGUAAGGGUGAUUUUCUUGGUUUUCAUAUUUCUAUUCCAAUCUAGCAGUUGCACUUGCAUACUUGCAUCUCAAGAUUACUACCCCAAUCCCCAUGUAGUUAGAUACUAAUUCCCCAAGCUCCAUACAUAACUGUUAUCUGCUGAUCAUCUCAAUAACAGAUCUUGUUUAUUUUAUACUGCGAAACAUCGAUUUCUUAGUCUACGCUUCUUCCUCAAUCAAAUGCUCAAAAACCAAACAAAAAGUCCAUUGUAUCUCUUCUGAUAAACGAAGAGCAGACUAUAAAUAUUUAUUCUCCCACAACAUAUCUAAAUAAGAUAAAAUGGUUAAAUAUCUGAACUAUUCCAAAUGCAAAACUAGUACAUUGCCAUCAAAAUCAACAUGCAAAUUCAUCAGCUCAAGUUCCUUUAUAAUUAUAACUCUCUUCACAACUACCUAGAAUCUCAAGACAUUCUCUGUGCAGCCUCCUUAGCUAAGAGCUUCUCUUUAGCUUUGGUCUUAGCCUGAGAUUUGGAGCCCAUGAUGCCACCACCCCACCUCUUGCGGUGCUCAUCAAACUUAUCAUUGAAAUUGGCCUUGACUGCCUCCAAAAUCUUGCUAAAUUCCAAUUUAUCUUCAUUCUUAACAGAUGUAAGGCACAAAGCUGCAGCUGUUUUCUUGUGAACAAUCGCUCCAAGCCGCGAUUUGCCCUUCACAAUUGCAUAAGGGACCUCCAUUUUACGGCACAAAGCAGGCAACCAAACAACAAGCUCAAUUGGAUCAACAUCAUG
This 921-nucleotide unclassified non-coding RNA is filed under the name Hevea brasiliensis (rubber tree). Lineage: Eukaryota; Viridiplantae; Streptophyta; Magnoliopsida; Malpighiales; Euphorbiaceae. The record is from RNAcentral.